This is an RNA transcript of Dendrobium catenatum, 2971 nucleotides long. It is a transcript of the gene named protein FAR1-RELATED SEQUENCE 6, with no coding region annotated. The transcript is spliced from 7 exons. Lineage: Eukaryota; Viridiplantae; Streptophyta; Magnoliopsida; Asparagales; Orchidaceae. The record is from RefSeq and is a predicted model, not a curated record.
AAAUGUCCGGAUUAUAUAUAUAAUAAAUUUUUGCAUAGUGUUUAGAGCGGAUGUUCUCAAAAUUCUGGCUAUUAUUCGACUCCUAUCGCUUGUAAUUUGUAUUCGGCCGAAAUUGAAAGGAGAAGAGCAAGGGGAGGAAUUGGAAGCGAAUAUUUGAGAUGGCUGAGGAAUCUCCUUCUGGAGGGCAUUUUGAGAGGGAUCUUUCUGUAAUUUCCGUUCAGGACUCAAGUGGCGGAAUGAGUAUGCUCGAACCUGAUCAGAUGAUGGAUAAUAAUUCAAAUGAUGUCGAGGAAGUCAAAGGUGGGAAUCUGAACUUAAUUGAUGUGGAUGAUUGCAAGGGGAAAAUACAAGAUGUUGAAGAUGAUGGAGUUCCUACUGUGGGAAUGGUGUUCAAAACCUUUGAAGAAGUAUAUGAUUUUUAUAACCAGUAUGCUCGGCGUGUGGGGUUCGGUACAAAGAUUAGGAGGUCAUGGUACAGUCUUGAUGAUGGGCAAUGCAACAAAUUCAUGCUCACUUGUUGCAAAGAGGGUAAGAGAGAGUACAAGAACUCGGAACGCUGCAGCUCAUAUAGAUUAAGGCUAGCUGCUCGAACUGAUUGUCAAGCCAGGAUUAAAGUUUUUAAGAAAUAUUCUGAUGGGAUGUUUCACUUAACAGAAGUUAAUCUUGAACAUAACCAUCCUGUUAGCCCAUCAAUGUCAAGAUUCUUUCGUUCUCACAAGGACUUGAAUGAUGGUGCAAAAAAGCUGCCAGUUAUGAGAGGGAAAGGGCAUAGGGAUAUAUCAUUGGGUGAGAAUGAACAAGAGCAUUCUUCAAUAAAAGCACGGUCUUCUUUCCUAGGGAAGGAUGAUCUUGAAGCUCUUCAACAAUUUUUAGCUCGAAUGCAGACCAAUGGCACAAACUUCUUCCAUUUGAUGGAUUUAGAUGAGGAUGGAUACCUUAAGAAUGUCUUCUGGGCUGACGGCAGGUGUAAGGCAGCAUAUCAGUACUAUGGUGAUGUUGUGACAUUUGAUACUACCUAUCUUACAACUAAUUUUGAGACACCUUUGGUUUCAUUUGUCGGUGUAAACCAUCAUGGUCACUUGGUGUUGUUUGGUUGUGGUUUGAUUUCUGAUAGAAGUGUUGAGUCCUAUAGGUGGUUAUUUAAGUCAUGGUUAUCAUGCAUGUCAGGAAGUUAUCCAAGUGCCAUAAUAACCGACCAUUUUAAGGCAUUACAAGAAGCAGUUGCAGAGAUCUUUCCAGGUUCCCAUCAUCGUCUUUGUUUAUUGAAUAUAAUGAAGCAAAUGCAAGAGAAUUUGGGGGCAUACCCUGAAUAUAAAACCAUCAAGGGAAUGAUGAAAAAAGUUGUGUGUGACUCAUUGAGGGCUGACGAGUUUGAAGAAGAGUGGAAAAUUAUGAUUGAGAAAUAUGUGCUUGAAGAUAAUGAAUGGCUGAGGUCUCUGUAUGAAAAUAGGCAUUCAUGGGUACCUGCUUUUGUAAAAGAAACUUUUUGGGCAGGUAUGUCAAGCACUCAACAUAAGGAAAAUAUAAAUUCCUUUUUUGAUGGAUUCAUUUAUCCUAAGACAUCCUUAAAGCAGUUCAUUUGCAAGUAUGAGUCCACUUUAAAAUGUAAAUUUGAAAAAGAAGCACAGGCGGACCGUGAUUCUUUUCAUAAAAGCCCACAACUAAUAUCAAAAUUUUACAUGGAGGAUCAACUGCGUAAGCUUUACACAGUAGAUAUGUUCAAAAAAUUUCAAGAAGAAGUUAAAGCCAUAUUAUAUUGUAUUCCUUCACUGGUUAGGGUGGAUGGUCCCGUAUCAAUCUUUGAGGUCAAAGAACCUUUGAGAAUGAAGGAUGGAAAUCAGAUGGAGAACAAGAACUAUGAAGUUACUUAUACCUCAAAUGAGCUGGAGGUGAGAUGCAUAUGUUGCUCAUUCCAAAUGACUGGCAUAUUAUGUAGGCAUACAUUGUCAGUUCUUAACUUUCUUGAGAUCUAUGAAAUCCCAGCUCAUUAUAUUGUUGAGCGCUGGCGAAAGGAUUAUAAGAACAUUCAUGUUCUGCCCUGCUUUUCAAAUGAUAUUGGAGCUAAUGGGCCAGCUGAGCGGUAUGAUAAUUUGUACAAGCAUUGCCUAAAAUUUAUGGAUUUAGGGGCUAGUUCCGAUGGGCUCUAUGAAUAUGCUCUUAAAAUAAUAAGUGAGGCAACAAAUGAACUUUUUGCAAGUGAUCCAACUUCAAGUGACAUACAACCCAGAGCCUGCAAUCCUUUCAAUGAUAAGAGAAUUAUUGGGAAUGAGAAUGAGGAGAUCUACGAUCUUUCAGAAUUGAGGCAGAGAAGUCAGCCACUAAAAAAGAGAAAAGAGUUGGCAGAAAAAACUGUAAAAAACAGCAAAAAGAAGGUUCCACCAAGAAAACCAGUGGUGGCGUGUCAGAAUGAUGUGCUUCGGAUGGCCCCUGAUACCCCACAAUUUGAUGCACACAUUUGGACACAAGACAACAUGAGCCUAGCGGACCAAGUCAGUCCACCUAACCUGUCAAUUGGGAAUCAUUUUGGAGUACAGAUGAGUCAACAACAUGUACUUGACAAUCAAGCAGGGCUACGAUGGAGUUUUCAGCAUAUUUUCCAACAAGCUCACACACCAGAUGGACCUCCAGGCCCAUGGUCUGGUUAGACUUAUGAACCAGCAUCAAAUUAGGAGAACUGGACCAGCAUUUCAACCUUAUGCCAUGAAUUUGGGAGCUUUAUGAACCUCUUGGAAGUUGGCAGUUCAUUUUACUUGCUUUCUUGUUGAAUGUUGCUGUUGAGUUGAGAAGUAAAUGCAAGUGAUUAACAGCCGACCAAUGGCUUCUCGUAGUCCAUAUCCCCUUCAAAUAUUACUGUAAAUAACAUAUUUUCACGAAUAACCUUAUGUUGUUUAUGCGUAUUAUAACUUUGCAGAAGAGAAUAUACUUUUUAGAUCUUUUUUUUAAAAAAUAAAUGUAUCUGAUUUUAAGUGGA